Long non-coding RNA from Helianthus annuus (common sunflower), 1024 nucleotides. RefSeq lists it as uncharacterized. The transcript has 3 exons. NCBI's taxonomy places the organism in Eukaryota, Viridiplantae, Streptophyta, Magnoliopsida, Asterales, Asteraceae. The record is from RefSeq and is a predicted model, not a curated record.
UCCUAAACAAAUUAGAUCCGGAUCUAAACACCAACCCAUAGUUCACCCAACCAAACCCUAAAAUAAUUACAAACCAAAACAGCUAACAACUACUUUCUUCUUCUUCUAUAAUGGGUGACGAAGGUUGGCAUGUGGUUGUUGGUUAGGUGGUCGUUGAAAGAUGUUGGUGAAAUGGCGGUAUUGGGUUUCUGGUGUGAGUCGGUUGAAGUCCAUGGUGAGGUUGAUAAUGGACCUCUGACAAGGAGGAAGCGCGCGUUGGGCAAACGAGAAGGAUAACGAAGCUCAAGUGAAGUGUAACAGCUCCAGCGAGGGGGAUAACGGAGCUUUGUUUCUUCAUUAGUAGGAAUUCUUUUUUGGUUUUUUGUUCUUGAGUUUUUUAAAUAUUGAUUCCGAUACUUGGAGAUGUUUAUGGAUGUGAUAUUACAUGUUUUCAACCUUUUAGAUUUACUAUGAUCAAUGCAUCUGUUAAUUGCUUCUUCUUCUUUUUUUUUUAAUUUAAGCAUUAUAUUUUAAUAUUUUCAUAAAAUGCUUUGGCUUUUUCCAGGUAAAAUCUUAUGCACGGUUAAGCUCUAUAGAUGAAUUUGCGGGCAUCCAACUCGAAUCCAAUCUGGGCUGUUUUGGAGACAAAAGAUGGUUAUGGUUCUAGUGCAAUUCAGAUCCCGAUUACCCAGGACAAUUUGGGUCAGAUUCAACCUCCGGUGAUUGCAUACGCGAUGCUGCAACCCCAGGGUUGUGCGGUGUUUUUUAGGUUGCCAUAAAUGAUACUUACAUAAGAUAGAUGUCGGUGGAAGAAUUUUCGUUGGAGGUGCAAAACGAAGGACAGCUUGGUUUGAUUCAAGACUGUAAAAUGUAUAAGUUGUUUUCGUGCAUAAAACGUAUUAGUUUCAAUCAAAAUUGUAAAUGUUAAGAUUGUAACCACUAGUUUUCGGAUGCAUAAAGUUGUGUUUCAGUUUUACAAGUGAUAUCUAGUCUUUUAGGUUUGGUUUUUUACAGGACUGUAAAGUUGUGUUAUAUAUUUCUAAUU